UACGGAGGGGGCAAGCGUUGUUCGGAAUUACUGGGCGUAAAGGGCUCGUAGGUGGCCAAUUAAGUCAGGCGUGAAAUCCCCAGGCUCAACUUGGGAACUGCGUCUGAUACUGGUUGGCUUGAAUUCGGGAGAGGGAUGCAGAAUUCCAGGUGUAGCGGUGAAAUGCGCAGAUAUCAGGAGGAACACCGGUGGCGAAGGCGGGUCUCUGGGCCGAUACUGACGCUGAGGAGCGAAAGCGUGGGGAGCGAACAGG
RNAcentral lists this ribosomal RNA (253 nucleotides) under uncultured bacterium. RNAcentral's name for it is "partial 16S ribosomal RNA". It matches the Rfam family "Bacterial small subunit ribosomal RNA", at positions 524 to 776 of the family's 1533-position model. The record is from RNAcentral.